This is an unclassified non-coding RNA of Rhipicephalus microplus (southern cattle tick), 1035 nucleotides long. The record is from RefSeq and is a predicted model, not a curated record. NCBI's taxonomy places the organism in Eukaryota, Metazoa, Arthropoda, Arachnida, Ixodida, Ixodidae.
GCUUGGUCUCCCACGCGAAAACAAGGGCGAUUUAAACGUGAUGCCGCUGCUCCGGCGCAAUGUGCCAUGCCGGGACCACGCUGUAAACUCAUAGGAAAAGCUUGUGCUGUGGUAAUAUGUAGAAACUGUGAUGGAGACAUCAGGCUGGGGAACUCGUCGGUGUUUCAAGUGCACGCUCCACUGUUGCAUCGAGGAUUCCCGUGCGUGAGGCCGUUUUCCACGCGUCGGAUUCCGCAAGGGGAGAAAAACAAGCUAACCCGACAGUGCUGGUUACUGAACCUACAGAGGGACAACUUUGAUCCGGGCACAUCAACAAGGUAUGCCACUUUGUUAAUGGGCAGCCAAGCAAUGAGAAAUCCUUACCCAAUGCUUCAUCUUGGAACAUAAAAUGUCCCUUGCAAGGAAAGAAGACAAGUCAUGCGGCAUCAUACCACCCAAUCUCAGCUGUGGCCCGGUGGUCUUUCAACUGACAACAGCCCACAGCACUCCACGGCUCAUGAGCCUAAUGAAGUCUUUUCUGUAGAACUUUCUGGCGAUGACACCAAUGACAGCCUCCCGGCCAGAAAUCGCCUCAGACCUGGCAAUGUCAUUUACGAGCAGGCCUUCAGGGUCUACAAAAGCGCCUUGGUUCCAACAAAGUGUUUAUCCUGUGACUGCAGUUGUAAAGGCAUCAGAAAAAUGGACAAAGUUGUGCCAGCUCAGCCAGAGGAGGACUACAACACGUACCAUGCCAACGUACAGGUUCUUGUAAAGCAGGAAAUUUUUCAGCAACUGGGGGUCAGUCAAACUGAUUUAACGGUUUAAUCUAGUCUUGCACCAGACGAUUGCUGAUUCUUUGCUGCUUUGUCAAAAAAAUGCAUUUGAUGCGCUGUCAAGCACUUUCGUCGGAGGGUGUAUAGUCUCCAUUUUCUGUGGCAUCCAAAUUGCUGCUAAUGAUGAUGCAAUUUAGGUUGCGGCUUUUUCCCUUGGACCUUGAUAAUCUAAACAUGUGCAGUGAGCAGAAUUUACUGCUUCGUUGUGUUACAAUUGGCAAAA